AGUGAACGCUGGCGGCGUGCCUAAUACAUGCAGGUCGAACGAACGAAUAAGAGCUUGCUCUUAUAAGUUAGUGGCGCACGGGUGAGUAAUAUAUAGCUAAUCUGCCUCUUAGUAGAGGAUAACAGUCGGAAACGAUUGCUAAUACUCUAUACUUCUGCUUUACAUAAGUAAAGUAGAGAAAGUUUUUCGCUAAGAGAUGAGGCUAUACUGUAUCAGCUAGUUGGUAAGGUAACGGCUUACCAAGGCUAUGACGCAUAACUGGUCUGAGAGGAUGAUCAGUCACAUUGGAACUGAGACACGGUCCAAACUCCUACGGGAGGCAGCAGUAGGGAAUAUUGCGCAAUGGGGGAAACCCUGACGCAGCAACGCCGCGUGGAGGAUGACACUUUUCGGAGCGUAAACUCCUUUUAUCGGGAAAGAAUAAUGACGGUACCCGAUGAAUAAGCACCGGCUAACUCCGUG
Molecule: ribosomal RNA, 462 nt
Filed under: uncultured bacterium
Lineage: Bacteria
Description: partial 16S ribosomal RNA
Rfam family: Bacterial small subunit ribosomal RNA
Source: RNAcentral